Molecule: unclassified non-coding RNA, 229 nt
Filed under: Hevea brasiliensis (rubber tree)
Lineage: Eukaryota; Viridiplantae; Streptophyta; Magnoliopsida; Malpighiales; Euphorbiaceae
Source: RNAcentral
GGGUGCCUAUGGUGGUGCUGGAGGAUAUGGCAGUUAUGGUGGAGCUGGAGCAGGAGGUGCUGGUGGGCGGGGUUCCAGCAGGUACCAUCCAUAUGGGAAAUGAGUGAACUCAUGAGAGUUUUUUCUAGGAUACAAUAAGUGCACCUCCUGGAAAAUCAGCGUUUUAUCUUGGGUUACUCAAUCAGCGGCACCAGAACAUUUAUUUAGUUUCAUCAAAUUAUCUCGUAAC